UGAACACGUUCACAUUUUCGUAGAUGAACCAUUCAUUUAAGAUGCCAGCCUAGGGUACAAAGUAUUUAUCUCCACUUUUCUGAUAAUCAGAACCAACUGACUUCAACUCGAUCUGACUCAUGACCGCAUGUGUGUCAGGGUAGAACUGUGCUCCACAGGGGUUUCAAUAGCUGAUUUUUAAGAAAUAGAUGGCUGGGCCUUUCUUCUGAGGUGCCUCUGGGAGGAUUCAAAUAUUCCACCUUUUGGUUAGCAGCCGAGGGUGUUAACCAUUUGGACCACCCAGGGACUCCUACUUUUUAAAUAUAUCUCCAUAUUUAUUUGUCUAAUAUCUUUGCAGUUUCGUGGAUUUGAAAUUCAAAAUCUUUUGGAUUUUAUAAUGGAGAUAAAGUACAUACAACCAUGAACUAUAUGCACCAUAUCCAUCUCCACAUCAGUGGGUUCUGAGACAGCACUUGUUAAACACAUUAACAGCUCUGCAGUGAAAUAGUGCAUUCAUUUCCUCUGUUGGCUAUCUGACAACUUGGCAGCUUCCACAUACUAUUUAUUUGGCUGACACUACCUGACUCCAUGGUGGACAUUGGAGAGUUGGAAGGAAGUUGUUCCCUGGCUUUAGGGUCAUGAGAACAAGUUUGAGCUUGGUCACAUCAUAUGCAUUUUAACCUUCACAGUUAUCUUGUAACCCAAACAAAUGUUAGUCAUUAUGAUAAAGGGUUCGAAGAAUUGUUUGGACAACUCAUGGAACGUUGGCUCAGAUAAGUUAUUCCAGUAAUACAGUUUCUCAAAAAAAUAUCUUCCAACUAAUGAUUUCCUGACUGUUGGUCUUCUAUAAGUUUUCUAAGUCCCAUUUGGUUCUAAAAAUGCUUUAAAAUAAUGCUCUGGCCUAAGUAUAUUUGGAGUAAUUAUCGGAUAUUUCUUAUUCACAAGGUAAUGCUAUUUUAUUUGAGGGAAAUUUUAAUAAUAAUAACUAUAUUACAGUAUGUUAACAAUGCAUUUUAAAGUCUCCUUUUACAUUUUUCCCCAGCCACUACUGAACUAUUCUUGAUAUAAAUCGUAGCAUAAAUUCAUGAUAUUCGGUAGAGAGCACUGCAUUUGAUGUGCUGGAGUUGGCUGGAACUACAGGCGCUGUGAGUUCCUUUAGUCGUCUGUCUUAUCCAUGCUCUCAGGGUUGCCAAGUAAAAGUUCCAUUUGGCAUUGUUUGUCUCUGAGUAUGGGAACCAGCAAGAGCUACAUUCAGGUGCAGGAAUCUGUGUCAAGAGGUAGGCUCUGGCUCUAUUGCUUUACCAUCUGUCUUUCAGUCUCAGACUGAAAUUCUUCUAGGAGUGAGUUGAAUAGUGUGGGUUGUAGGGAGUCCUUGUCCAGACUUGCCUCCUAACUCUUAGAGUUACUUGAAUAGAUUCUUUCCCCCUCAUUGCAUAUCAGUUUCCUCAUCAGUCCAAUGAGGUAAUAGCAACUAACACUUAUUGACCAUUAUGUACCAGGCACUGUUCUAACACCUUACAUGUAAAAUUCAUUUGAUCUUCACAACAACUCUGUGAGGGUGGUAACAGCCAACACACAUAUACUCUCCAAAUCUCCCCUACCAUGCUUUUUCUUUUUUCCUAUUGUCUUAUCUCCUUCAAAUAUGUUAUAAAGUUUUAUGUUAUGUUUUUGCUGUUGUUGUUCUGUCAGUUUCCUUGCUCUAGAGUUUAAAUGCCAUAAGGGCGGGAAUUUCCAUAUUGUAUUCUGUGAUGUAUACCGAGUACCUAGAACAGAGCCUGGCGCUCAGUAGAUACAGAUUGGAUGCUGAGUGAAUGAAGCAUAGAGAAAUUAAGCUCUACUGAGGUUCAUGGUGAUGGUGAUGGUGAAGUGGCUGAGCUGAUCCCUCGUUGUUUAUCCCCAAAAUCUACAUUCUAAGUCACAGUGUUAUACUACAUAAAAUUAGACAAUUGAUGGUUUCCAAAGCCAUGGUUCAUAAUGCUGGUUUCAUGUCAGAAUUAUACGUGGUGCUUUACAAAAUGCAGACACCUGCUGCUCCCCGCCCUUCCCCACUACAUACUCUGAUUCCCCUUUAGUGGGUCCAGAGUCAUAGCGUUUUUUCCUGAAAUUCCCAAGUGAACUUAAUUUGUAUGUAAAGUGCAGAACCAAUGAAAGAAAAAAGAAUCUUAAAGCUGGAGAGAUUUUAGAAAUGAUAUAGCCUAUCUCCUUCAAUUUCUAGAAGGGAUCACUGGAGCAUUUUGUUGUUGUUGUUGUUAGUUUACCCCUAGAUAGCAACAGAGUGUUUUGAACAUUCUUUUUUCUUUGAUUUUUCUAAGCACUUUGAAGUAGUACUAUCCAUUUAUUCUUAAAAUGUUCACUGAAUAAUAAGCACAGAGGAAACCCAAAGCACAGAGGACAGAGGAACAAACAUGAUACCUUACUUAGGGGAUUUCUUUUCACAGGUGGUGUUUGUUUUACUUGCUGUCGAGUCGAUUCGAACUCAUAGUGACCCCAUGUGUGCAGAGUAGAACUGCUCCAUGGGGCUUUCAAGGCUCUGACCUUUCCGAAGCAGAUCACCAGGCUUGUCUCCCGAGGUGCCGCUGGAUGGGUUUGAACCACCAACCUUUCAGUUAGCGGUUGAGCACAUAAUCUUCUGUGCCACCCAGGAACUCCUUCUCAGAGCAGUUACUAUAUACACUUGAUUAGUCAGCGUAGCUAGGUUAUAGUAUAGUAACAAACAACCCCCAAUUCUCAGUGAUUUAAGACCACAAAAGCUUAUUUUUGACUCAGUACGCCUGGGUAAGCAGGGAACUCUGUCAUUGUAGUUAUUCAGGGACACAUGCUGACAAAGAGCCAAGAUAUCCAAGUUUACCAGUCACUGUGUCAUACGAAAUGAGGGAAUAUGGUGAAUCCAACACUGGCUCUUAAAGUUUCUGAUUACGUUCCUUUGACCAAAGCAAGUCAUAUCGUUAUAGCUAACAUGGAGGGAAGAGGCAGAAAAGUGUGAUUCAGCAGAGGGUUGAAUGGAAAUAUUUGUUGAACAACCCUAAUGUUGUAUUUGUUAGGUGCCAUCCAGUCGGUUCCGACUCAUAGCGACCCUAUGCACAGCAACCCUAAUGGUUAUCACAAAACAAAUACAAUGUAAAGUAUGAAUCUAAUAUUCUAAUCUUACUUGAAAUCCUGUAGUGCCUUUUUUAUGGCCCUUAGAGUAAAUAUAGCAUCUUUAACAAGGCCUGUAAGACUGUAUCUGAUCUGGUGCUUACUCACCUUCACGGCCUCAUUUUGUGAUUCUUUCCCUUUUGCUUGCUUUACUCCAGUCAUAUUGGUCAAUUCUCACUUUCCUUAAUAUGUCCUACUUUCUGUGUGUGCACUUGAUGUUCAAUCUUCCCUAAAUUUUCUCCUCAACUUUUCGUAGAGCUAAACCCUACCCAACUUUCACAACUCAGUUUAUGCAUAAUUUACUCUGGGUAACU
This is a long non-coding RNA of Loxodonta africana (African savanna elephant), 3428 nucleotides long. RefSeq lists it as uncharacterized. NCBI's taxonomy places the organism in Eukaryota, Metazoa, Chordata, Mammalia, Proboscidea, Elephantidae. The record is from RefSeq and is a predicted model, not a curated record. The transcript is spliced from 3 exons.